RNAcentral lists this ribosomal RNA (353 nucleotides) under uncultured bacterium. Its description in RNAcentral is "bacterial SSU rRNA". It matches the Rfam family "Bacterial small subunit ribosomal RNA", at positions 93 to 458 of the family's 1533-position model. The record is from RNAcentral.
GCACGGCGCACGGGUGCGUAACACGUGGGUAACCUGCCCUUUGGUGGGGAAUAACCUCGCGAAAGCGAGGCUAAUUCCGCAUAAGAUCCGCAAGGAUGAAAGCCGCAAGGCGCCGAAGGAGGGGCCCGCGCACGAUUAGUUAGUUGGUAGGGUAACGGCCUACCAAGACUAUGAUCGUUAGCUGGUCUGAGAGGAUGGCCAGCCACACUGGAACUGAGACACGGUCCAGACUCCUACGGGAGGCAGCAGUGGGGAAUCUUGCGCAAUGGGCGAAAGCCUGACGCAGCGACGCCGCGUGGGGGAUGAAGCUUCUCCGAGUGUAAACCCCUUUCGACUGGGACGAAUACCUCGCA